RNAcentral lists this ribosomal RNA (93 nucleotides) under uncultured Dinobryon. RNAcentral describes it as "partial Eukaryotic large subunit ribosomal RNA". The record is from RNAcentral. Lineage: Eukaryota; Chrysophyceae; Chromulinales.
UUUAUGGUCCAAUUUGGAAUUUCUGGAGACCCCAACGUCCAAAAGAAGUGGAGAAAGGAUAUAUUGAAAGAUGACCCUGUUAAAUUUUCAAAC